This is a non-coding RNA of Lentinula raphanica, 108 nucleotides long. Lineage: Eukaryota; Fungi; Basidiomycota; Agaricomycetes; Agaricales; Omphalotaceae. The record is from the annotation of a GenBank genome assembly.
GGUGAGAUGGCCGAGCGGUCUAAGGCGCCAGAUUAAGGAGACCAACGCAUCAGAUGCGUUCAAUAUUCUGGUCACGUAGUGGCGUGGGUUCGAAUCCCACUCUCAUCA